UCAUCUUCGGGGGUAGAGCACUGUUUCGGCUAGGGGGUCAUCCCGACUUACCAACCCGAUGCAAACUGCGAAUACCGAAGAAUGUUAUCACGGGAGACACACGGCGGGUGCUAACGUCCGUCGUGAAGAGGGAAACAACCCAGACCGCCAGCUAAGGUCCCAAAGUCAUGGUUAAGUGGGAAACGAUGUGGGAAGGCACAGACAGCCAGGAUGUUGGCUUAGAAGCAGCCAUCAUUUAAAGAAAGCGUAAUAGCUCACUGGUCGAGUCGGCCUGCGCGGAAGAUGUAACGGGGCUAAACCAUGCACCGAAGCUGCGGCAGCGACACUAUGUGUUGUUGGGUAGGGGAGCGUUCUGUAAGCCGUUGAAGGUGUGUCGUGAGGCAUGCUGGAGGUAUCAGAAGUGCGAAUGCUGACAUAAGUAACGAUAAUGCGGGUGAAAAACCCGCACGCCGGAAGACCAAGGGUUCCUGUCCAACGUUAAUCGGGGCAGGGUGAGUCGACCCCUAAGGCGAGGCCGAAAGGCGUAGUCGAUGGGAAACAGGUUAAUAUUCCUGUACUUGGUGUUACUGCGAAGGGGGGACGGAGAAGGCUAUGUUAGCCGGGCGACGGUUGUCCCGGUUUAAGCAUGUAGGCGG
Molecule: ribosomal RNA, 635 nt
Filed under: Citrobacter freundii
Lineage: Bacteria; Pseudomonadati; Pseudomonadota; Gammaproteobacteria; Enterobacterales; Enterobacteriaceae
Description: partial 23S ribosomal RNA
Rfam family: Bacterial large subunit ribosomal RNA
Source: RNAcentral